Acanthopagrus latus (yellowfin seabream) is the source of this 454-nucleotide non-coding RNA. The record is from the annotation of a RefSeq genome assembly. NCBI's taxonomy places the organism in Eukaryota, Metazoa, Chordata, Actinopteri, Spariformes, Sparidae.
GACAGAUUGAGAUAUAUUUGAAACACUGAGGUCAGAGAGCUCUGAACUACAGUGUUUAUCACAGAAUGGAAAUUACAAUCAUCUGGACUUUGUUAUUUGUAGUUAGUAUUCAUGGAGUUUGGAGUGAGAUCAAACUGGACCAGUCUCCCUCUGAGGUGAAAACACCUGGAGAGACAGUGAAGAUGUCAUGUAUCAUAUCCGGUUAUAGCAUGACGAGCUACAAUAUGGGCUGGAUACGACAGAAGCCAGGGAAAGCUCUGGAGUGGAUUGGGUAUAUGGUCACAGGUUCAAACUCUGCUAGCUAUGCCAGCUCCUUUCAAAGUGGUUUCCUCAUGACUGAAGACGUGUCCAGCAGCACUCAGUACCUCGAGAUCAGGAGCCUGACAGCAGAAGAUUCUGCUGUUUACUUCUGUGCUCGACAGACACAGUGACUGAAGACAGUGGAGCAGCUGCA